This 513-nucleotide ribosomal RNA is filed under the name uncultured bacterium. RNAcentral describes it as "partial 16S ribosomal RNA". It matches the Rfam family "Bacterial small subunit ribosomal RNA", at positions 355 to 861 of the family's 1533-position model. The record is from RNAcentral.
UGGGGAAUUUUGGACAAUGGGGGAAACCCUGAUCCAGCCAUCCCGCGUGUGCGAUGAAGGCCUUCGGGUUGUAAAGCACUUUUGGCAGGAAAGAAACGUCGCGGGUUAAUACCCCGCGGAACUGACGGUACCUGCAGAAUAAGCACCGGCUAACUACGUGCCAGCAGCCGCGGUAAUACGUAGGGUGCAAGCGUUAAUCGGAAUUACUGGGCGUAAAGCGUGCGCAGGCGGUUCGGAAAGAAAGAUGUGAAAUCCCAGAGCUUAACUUUGGGAACUGCAUUUUUAACUACCGGGCUAGAGUGUGUCAGAGGGAGGUGGAAUUCCGCGUGUAGCAGUGAAAUGCGUAGNUAUGCGGAGGAACACCGAUGGCGAAGGCAGCCUCCUGGGAUAACACUGACGCUCAUGCACGAAAGCGUGGGGAGCAAACAGGAUUAGAUACCCUGGUAGUCCACGCCCUAAACGAUGUCAACUAGCUGUUGGGUCUUCGGACCUUGGUAGCGCAGCUAACGCGUG